CCUUAAGAGAUUCAUAUCUUCGUGAUCGGGGUUUCUUGAUACCAUUUCUGUGCCUUUUUCGGGACUGGUUGUUUGUGCUGUGGUUCUUGGACUUGGCCAUGUCUGCACCUUAAGCUGUGGCUCCUGAAGCACCUAGAACUGGAAAUAUUCUGCUUUUUCUCUACCACUGAACAUUUCAUGUUGUCUCUAAGUCAUUCAUCUACACUUUUCUCUCCAAUUAUCAGCACUCUUUUCAUUUCACUCAUAUUUCCUCCUGGCCUAGAUCUCAUGCUCAGCCAUUUUGAAAUUUGCUCAUAAAUGCCAAGGAUUUCUUCCCUUCACUGGUUUUCUACUGCCCGUGUUUUCCCAGCCCCAGCUGGCUCCUAUUGCCCUGUUUCUCCCCUCCCACACUGCAGGAUAUUGCUGGAGAAAGUCCCAAGGUCACGCUGGUUUGACCCAGUAUAGAUUCACAAUUCCAAACCUCACCUGGGCUUCAUUUGGGCUUUUUUUUUUUUUUAGAUGGAGUUUCCCUCUUGCUGCCCAGGCUGGAGUGCAAUGGUGUGAUCUCAGCUCGCUGCAACUGGCUCACUGCAACCUCCGCCUCCCAGGUUCAAGUGAUUCUCCUGCCUCAGCCUCCCGAGUACCUAGUAUUACAGGCGCCCGCCACCAUGCCUGGCUAAUUUUUUGUAUUUUUGGUAGAGAGGGGGUUUCACCAUGCUGGCCAGGCUGGUUUUGAACUUCUGACCACAGGUGAUACAGCCGCCUCGGCCUCCCAAAAUGCUGGGAUUACAGGCAUGAGCCACGGCGCCUGGCCUGGGCUCUUUUUGACGGUGGCUUUCUAUACAGUGUUGCCUAAGACUUCUCAACUCCCUUAAGCCCAAAAUCCACCCCUGCCACACUUAUUAUAAGACCUCAUUUUCUACUUACAGGGAAGAUGGAGGUCAUUCAAGACCCCACCCCCACCCCUGCCAUCACCUUUAUCUUAGAAUUAGUCCAUAUCUUUACCUUCUGUCUCUAGGAACAUCUCUUCCCCUGCAGAAAGCACAUGCCUCAUCUCAUCCCCCUCCACUGAUGACUCCUCUCAUCCCUCAUGUUCUUACCCUUUUUCUCUCUCCUUACUUCUUACCCUCUUCCCACAAACAUGCUCAAUUCUGCAUCAACCUAAAAAUAGAAAAUCUUUUCCCAGCUGGGCACAGUGGCUCACGCAUGUAAUCCUAGCACUUUGGGAGGCUGAAGCAGGUGAAUCGCUUGAGUACAGGAGUUCCAGACCAGCCAAG
This 1256-nucleotide long non-coding RNA is filed under the name Homo sapiens (human). Its description in RNAcentral is "HSALNT0241036". Lineage: Eukaryota; Metazoa; Chordata; Mammalia; Primates; Hominidae. The record is from RNAcentral.